Pongo pygmaeus (Bornean orangutan) is the source of this 2069-nucleotide long non-coding RNA. RefSeq lists it as uncharacterized. The record is from RefSeq and is a predicted model, not a curated record. The transcript has 6 exons. NCBI's taxonomy places the organism in Eukaryota, Metazoa, Chordata, Mammalia, Primates, Hominidae.
UUGUUAAGGGCUUCAGGCUAGUUGGUAGGUGCUAGGUAAUGUAAAAAGAUUGAUGUCUACCCAGAGAAGCUUGUACAAAAAGAUACUCCAAAAAGAUCAUACUAUCUAUUAACUGUCAGCUGGACUGAUUGCUGUGGACCAAGAAGUAUAGGUGAACCAAUAUAUGUAUGUCUGUUUCUACUGUCACUUGCAGCUCAACAGAACUCUGUAAUAUACAUGAACAAGUUUCUGGAAGUUAUGAGGGAGGAAAAACUGAAUGCUCCACUAUGACUGGGUUAAUUAUCGUCAUGCAGAGUCAGAGCAAAGAAUAUAGACUGUGGGACUCGCAGAUUCUCAGGAAAACGUUAAGGUGGUGACAUGUUACGGUGAUGGGGCUGAUACCGCUUGUCUAGGUACCACACUUUGAGAACCAUCACUCUAAAAGAAGACUGUACAGCUGCAUCGAAAACCUUGCUCUUCCUGAUGUCUCCUAGAUUUAGUAGCAGAGAACUCAAAGGCACAUAUUGUUUUUAAAUAGCUGUGGAUGGUAUGAAUGGAUCAUUUGUAAGCCACAAGCUAUACUGAAUAAGAAUUCAUCGUCUUUAGAAAAUACAACUUUACUAUUCAGACUUUCAAGAGGUAAUAAAAUGCUGAGUGUCCUUCUUCAAUUAAAUAAAAUAACUCCAGCUGAUAUCUAGGAAUAAAAAUGCAUAAAUUCAUGAGUUAAAAUUAUGAUUACAAUUACAUACUUGAAACUUUCUUAGGUUAACAGUUAAUGUAUUUUGUGAGUGGUAGCAAUAAAAUUGUUGAUUGUACUUUAUUAUAUUACUGCUACUGUAAAUCUAAAUUGUCACUGGCAUUGAAAUAGCUUACUUUUAUCCAUGAACAAUAAUGACUUUAUUCCUGUCAGCAUGAUAAUGAUUAGCUCUCAUAAAGGUAAAUACAGCCAUUAUUAAUCCAUCUACUAAUCAUUCUUUCCUGCUAUAGCGGGUGGGAUGAUUGACUCUUCAGAUUAAUUCUAACAACAUAGGUUCCUGUAUAAAAAGAGACAUAAACUAAGAAGGGAGAGCUGCUUAUGUAAAGAAGCACUAAUCUUAGGUCUUAGUUGAAAGAAAAAUAACCUCAAAUUUUCCAAUGUUUCUCCACUUAGUAGCAAGGAGAAAAAUAUCUCAUAAGUGUCACAUAAUUUCUAGGACAAUUUUCUCAUUGUCCUUGGAUUAUUAGUAUUGGAUGCAUUUUUGACAUAUUUUAAUUAGCAAUUAUAUUUAUUAUUCCAGGUCCUUUCACUGUUGUUUUCCUUCCUAUAGCUAUUUUGACAGCAAGUACUCUGAAUAUCCCUAAGUACUCAGAAAUUUUUUAUUUUGUCUUUAGCAGGAAAUUCCACUGAAACAAAAUAGAACAUACCUUUAUGUUCUAUUGAGAGAGUGUAGAAGAAGAAAAUUCUGUAUUGGUUUUGACUAACAGCAAGCUGCCAGAAGAUUUCUUUUUCUCCUAUAGGUUAAUAAGGAGAAAGUAAGUAAUAAGAAAGAUAAGGAGUGGUACAAAGCCAACAGGACUACUUCUCAGUUCAUCCCGAGACUGUUUUUUUAAUUAUAAUUAUUUUAGUUUAAGUGAAUUUCUGCUGUACUGGCCUUGAAUAUAUACAAAUGAAAAAAUAAAAAUACAUUUUAAGAUUGAAAUUACAAGCAUAAAGCAUUUUGUCAGGAUAUAACUAUGAAGAUAUUUUCAUUACUAAAUAUACAAAUAGGCCAGGUGCAGUGGCUCACACCUGUAAGCCCAGCAUUUUGGGGGACCGAGGCAGGCAGAUCGCCUGAAGUCAGGAGUUCGAGACCAGCCUGGCCAUCAUGAAGAAACCCCAUCUCUACUAAGAAUACAAAAUUAGCAGUGUGUGGUGACGCAUGCCUGUAAUCCCAGCUACUCGGGAGGCUGAGGCAGGAGAAUUGCUUGAACCUGGGAAGCAGAGGUUGCUGUCAGCUGACAUUGCGCCAUUGCACUCCAACCUGGGCAACAAGAGCAAAAUUCCAUCUCAAAAAAUAAGUAAAUAAAUAAAUAAUAAUAAUAUAUAUACAUCUUCAUACACAUAUACUUGU